GCGGGGAUAGCUCAGCUGGGAGAGCGUCAGACUGAAGUCCACUUCAUUCAAACAUCUGAAGGCCGUGCGUUCGAUCCGCACUCACCGCA
Daldinia loculata is the source of this 89-nucleotide non-coding RNA. The record is from the annotation of a RefSeq genome assembly. Lineage: Eukaryota; Fungi; Ascomycota; Sordariomycetes; Xylariales; Hypoxylaceae.